Schizosaccharomyces pombe (fission yeast) is the source of this 809-nucleotide non-coding RNA. The record is from the annotation of a GenBank genome assembly. NCBI's taxonomy places the organism in Eukaryota, Fungi, Ascomycota, Schizosaccharomycetes, Schizosaccharomycetales, Schizosaccharomycetaceae.
AUGCCCCUGCGAGGAAACGCUAAGUAAUAAAUAAUAAUUGCGACCAAUUUAGCUCUUUCUUUUACAAAGCAUGUCGUAAAGAUUCGUGUCCUUAAAGUUGAAUUCUUCGUCACAUUUCAUAAACGGGUGAUUUAAUAAUUCCUCUGCGGUUGGCCUUACAUCAGCAUUCACAGUAAAGCAUGCAUUCAAAAAUUGAAUCGCUUCGGGUGAUACCUGAGACACCAAUUCACUAGGAAUAGGAGGCGCCUUUUUCUCGGUACCUAACUUGAACAUAGCUUGGAUAGCCUCAUCUGUAGACCACGGUCUACGACCAGCUAACAUUUCCAACACUACACAUCCCAAGGACCAGACGUCGACCUUAGCACUAUAUCCUUGAUGAUCAUUAUGAAUUACUUCAGGUGCCAUCCAAAAGAUGGAUCCUUGCAUGGACAGGUUUGCGUCAUUGUCAUACACAUUAUCACUAUGCUUAGAUAUUCCAAAGUCUGAAAUUUUGCAAACUCCAUCAAAAUCAAUGAGCAAAUUGUCAGCCUUUAAAUCUCGAUGUAUAAUACCUUUAGAAUGUAAGUAAGACAACCCGUAGAGCACCUGGCGUGAUACAAAACGGACCAGUUGCUCUUCGAAAGGACCAUAAUUCCGCAAACAUCGACCAAUUGAACCACCUGAAACAUAUUCCAGGAAUAUACUUAUAUCCGUUUCCGUCUUUUCGAAACCCAGAUAUUGCACUAUAUUUAAGUGAUCCAAAUCGGCAAUCAUAGAAAUUUCUGCAUUAAUGGAAUCCACGAUAUCUUUGCGUAAUUGGUCAUGACGGC